This is a long non-coding RNA of Lutra lutra (Eurasian river otter), 503 nucleotides long. RefSeq lists it as uncharacterized. The record is from RefSeq and is a predicted model, not a curated record. The transcript has 2 exons. Lineage: Eukaryota; Metazoa; Chordata; Mammalia; Carnivora; Mustelidae.
AUAAAUAAAUAAAAUCUUAAAAAAGAAAGGAAGAAAUAGUACAACUUGCUUUAAAAUAGUAGCCCUCUUGGAUUUUUAAACCCAUUGAUCUAAUGACUGCACACCAUUUGUAGGUUUUAACCAAGAUCUGCAUAAUGGCUGAAAUGGGUUUUUCCCUAAAUUGACAGAAUAAUAUGAACUUUGAACCAUUGUAGAAUUAGUAAAAAUGAAAACAACAUUUUGGUGACUUGUCUUACGUGAAGAUGAUUAAUAGUAGAAAACACAGUUAAUCUAUCUGAAUGUGGAUGUGAAAAAGUAGGACUUAAGGAAAGCUUAACAUAUGCUUUAAGAUUAAUGUGUUUUAGGAAAUAAAAAUAUUCUAAAAUAUAUUAUAUUGGGUUGUAAAACAAUAUUAAGAGUAUUCUUGUAGUCCACUAGAUCUAAUCCAUUUCCUCAAUUUUGUCUUAAUGCCCAAAUUAGUUUCUUAUUGUUGUUGUAACAAGUUACUUUAAACUUGGUGGCUU